This 816-nucleotide long non-coding RNA is filed under the name Homo sapiens (human). RNAcentral's name for it is "HSALNT0211517". The record is from RNAcentral. Lineage: Eukaryota; Metazoa; Chordata; Mammalia; Primates; Hominidae.
GAUCCAGGGGACAUGGCAAAAAGAACCUGAAUUCAUCAUGAGGAAGGAACCCAUCACAAGGAAGCAACCUAUGAAGGCAGCCAUUAGGCAAGGGACAUCUGAGAUGGGCACUGCAAGCAUGUUCAAGAAAACACCUCUUCUGCCAGCUAGAGGCUCCCCCGCCCAGUGGAGGAGGAAUCAAAUUCCACCAUCUUUAAUCUGGCUACACCAUAUUUGAAUAAUAAUCCUGAAAUUCACAUUGAUGCUCAAGAAGUCGCUUCUUCAAAACUUUAAGGUAACAAUUAAGUAUUCCAUUGUCAUGGCUCAAUUAAAUGGUUUGGCCUGAGAAAAUUGGGGAUUGUAAAGUGAGGAUGGAAUGUGCUUUGAUCCUUUUUCCAGGGUUAUUGUUUCAUUAAUAAAUGAACAUGUCAUUUGUCUCACCAGAGGGAGCUCAUGCCCUCCAGGCUUUUUUCCCUUUUUUGUUCAGGUUUUAUAAAGAUGAAUUUCCAGUGCUCUGAAAUACCAUGGAUUAGUAGUUAAGCCUGACAGCACUUCGGGGAGUAGCGAGCUUAAAGUGCCUCACACAGGUCUCCAAAGCACUUGUUUACUAAUAGAGGAAAUCAGCAACCGUCUGCAGCUGCUGAUAUCGCAUUACCAUUUGGAAAGACAGUAGCUGAGAUAACAAAUCACACAGUUUUAAUAAUUACUCCUGCAUUCCCGUUUUUUGUUUCCUGCAUAACUGUAAAGGCUGGAUUUCUUCCAAAUAAACAGAUAAAAACAGUAUGGAACUUUUAUCUUUUAAUGAUAAUGACAACUCUCCAGAACUUACAUUAGAAG